GCGCGCGCAGGCGGCCUUUUAAGUCUGAUGUGAAAGCCCACGGCUCAACCGUGGAGGGUCAUUGGAAACUGGAAGGCUUGAGUGCAGAAGAGAAGAGCGGAAUUCCACGUGUAGCGGUGAAAUGCGUAGAGAUGUGGAGGAACACCAGUGGCGAAGGCGGCUCUUUGGUCUGUAACUGACGCUGAGGCGCGAAAGCGUGGGGAGCGAACAGGAUUAGAUACCCUGGUAGUCCACGCCGUAAACGAUGAGUGCUAAGUGUUGGGGGGUUUCCGCCCCUCAGUGCUGCAGCUAACGCAUUAAGCACUCCGCCUGGGGAGUACGGCCGCAAGGCUGAAACUCAAAGGAAUUGACGGGGGCCCGCACAAGCGGUGGAGCAUGUGGUUUAAUUCGAAGCAACGCGAAGAACCUUACCAGGUCUUGACGGGGCGCUGACCGGUCUGGAGACAGAUCUUCCCCUUCGGGGGCAGCGGUGACAGGUGGUGCAUGGUUGUCGUCAGCUCGUGUCGUGAGAUGUUGGGUUAAGUCCCGCAACGAGCGCAACCCUUGAUCUUAGUUGCCAGCAUUUAGUUGGGCACUCUAAGGUGACUGCCGGUGACAAACCGGAGGAAGGUGGGGAUGACGUCAAAUCAUCAUGCCCCUUAUGACCUGGGCUACACACGUGCUACAAUGGAUGGUAC
Molecule: ribosomal RNA, 677 nt
Filed under: Pseudobacillus badius
Lineage: Bacteria; Bacillati; Bacillota; Bacilli; Caryophanales; Bacillaceae
Description: bacterial SSU rRNA
Rfam family: Bacterial small subunit ribosomal RNA
Source: RNAcentral